Non-coding RNA from Desulfuromonadales bacterium C00003094, 58 nucleotides. NCBI's taxonomy places the organism in Bacteria, Pseudomonadati, Thermodesulfobacteriota, Desulfuromonadia, Desulfuromonadales. The record is from Rfam.
CUGGGAGAGCGCUUGAAUGGCAUUCAAGAGGUCAACGGUUCGAUCCCGUUUAGCUCCA